RNAcentral lists this ribosomal RNA (446 nucleotides) under uncultured bacterium. Its description in RNAcentral is "partial 16S ribosomal RNA". It matches the Rfam family "Bacterial small subunit ribosomal RNA", at positions 338 to 795 of the family's 1533-position model. The record is from RNAcentral.
CCUACGGGUGGCAGCAGUCGAGAAUCAUUCACAAUGGGGGAAACCCUGAUGGUGCGACGCCGCGUGGGGGAAUGAAGGUCUUCGGAUUGUAAACCCCUGUCAUGUGGGAGCAAAUUAAAAAGAUAGUACCACAAGAGGAAGAGACGGCUAACUCUGUGCCAGCAGCCGCGGUAAUACAGAGGUCUCAAGCGUUGUUCGGAAUCACUGGGCGUAAAGCGUGCGUAGGCUGUUUCGUAAGUCGUGUGUGGAAGGCGCGGGCUCAACCCGCGGACGGCACAUGAUACUGCGAGACUAGAGUAAGGGAGGGGGAACCGGAAUUCUCGGUGUAGCAGUGAAAUGCGUAGAUAUCGAGAGGAACACUCGUGGCGAAGGCGGGUUCCUGGACAGUAACUGACGCUGAGGCACGAAGGCCAGGGGAGCGAAAGGGAUUAGAUACCCCGGUAGUC